UGGGGAAUUUUGGACAAUGGGGGAAACCCUGAUCCAGCCAUCCCGCGUGUGCGAUGAAGGCCUUCGGGUUGUAAAGCACUUUUGGCAGGAAAGAAACGUCAUGGGUUAAUACCCCGUGAAACUGACGGUACCUGCAGAAUAAGCACCGGCUAACUACGUGCCAGCAGCCGCGGUAAUACGUAGGGUGCAAGCGUUAAUCGGAAUUACUGGGCGUAAAGCGUGCGCAGGCGGUUCGGAAAGAAAGAGGUGAAAUCCCAGAGCUCAACUUUGGAACUGCAUUUUUAACUACCGGGCUAGAGUGUGUCAGAGGGAGGUGGAAUUCCGCGUGUAGCAGUGAAAUGCGUAGAUAUGCGGAGGAACACCGAUGGCGAAGGCAGCCUCCUGGGAUAACACUGACGCUCAUGCACGAAAGCGUGGGGAGCAAACAGG
This 429-nucleotide ribosomal RNA is filed under the name Acidobacteriota bacterium. RNAcentral's name for it is "Acidobacteria bacterium partial 16S ribosomal RNA". It matches the Rfam family "Bacterial small subunit ribosomal RNA", at positions 355 to 776 of the family's 1533-position model. The record is from RNAcentral. Lineage: Bacteria; Pseudomonadati; Acidobacteriota.